UACGUAGGGUGCAAGCGUUGUCCGGAAUUAUUGGGCGUAAAGAGCUCGUAGGCGGUUUGUUGCGUCGGCUGUGAAAUCCCGAGGCUCAACCUCGGGUCUGCAGUCGAUACGAGCAAACUAGAGUGUUGCAGGGGAGACUGGAAUUCCUGGUGUAGCGGUGAAAUGCGCAGAUAUCAGGAGGAACACCUGUGGUGUAGACAGCUUACUGGACCAUUUCUGACGCUGAGACACGAAAGCGUGGGGAGCGAACAGG
RNAcentral lists this ribosomal RNA (253 nucleotides) under uncultured bacterium. RNAcentral's name for it is "partial 16S ribosomal RNA". It matches the Rfam family "Bacterial small subunit ribosomal RNA", at positions 524 to 776 of the family's 1533-position model. The record is from RNAcentral.